Long non-coding RNA from Bubalus bubalis (water buffalo), 1261 nucleotides. RefSeq lists it as uncharacterized. NCBI's taxonomy places the organism in Eukaryota, Metazoa, Chordata, Mammalia, Artiodactyla, Bovidae. The transcript is spliced from 2 exons. The record is from RefSeq and is a predicted model, not a curated record.
GGCGGGCCUGUGCAUUUGGUACCCUCCCCAUCUGGAGGACGGACAGGCCACCGGAGUGGAGCGGGUGUCCCGACUUGCAGGACAAGACGGUGGGAGCGCCGCACAAGAGCGCUCCCCCGGCCCUGGCCGGGUGAAGGGAUCCCGGGAUGCGGAGAGCAUCAGCUGAGGCUGGAGGAAUAAGGAAUUCGGCGGGAGGAAGGAGCGGGUGUCCAUAGGCCCCGACGCAUCGCACAGCUGCAAACGCUGUGGUCUUCCUGGAGCUAAAAGCGGAGGCCGAAGAGGAAGCUGGAGCGACUGGUAGGGCUCCGUUAGGGAGGGCCUUGUUCCCAAGGAAAAAGGGAACUGUAUGAGCGAACUGACAGAACUGGGGACGCAGGACCCUGGAGCUGGGAACCGCUGUGCAGGUGGGAAGGGGCCGCGGGGGCUCUUGCCAGUCGUCCUGCAGAGAUGCAAGCAUCUCCAGGGCCCACUACAGGCCUUUUCAGAGAGUCACUAGGAUGGCUCGAGGAGGACGUCCACGUGUUUGUCAGCGCAGGCUCCAUCACGCUGCAGGGACAGUCUCCAGUCUCAGAGGCCAGAAACAGCAGAGUCGUAUUCAGCAUCAGCCCUCGGAAAGCCAGGGUGAGAGCGCAGCCACCGCUCUGGAGUUCUGCCCUCCGGACAAAGGGGAAGUGCUCGGAGCGUCUCACUGCUCUGGCUCAGAAUCACCACAAGGCUUCACCUCACGACUCGCUGGCCAGAACCAGUCAUGGCUAUACCCAACCACAACUGGAACAUUUUACUAUGCCCCUGGAAGACAGCCAGCCAGAAACGCCUGAUAAACAGCACUAAAUGCUAACCACACUAACCAAGCUAACAUUUACUGAACAUGCCUGUUAUGUACUGAGCACUCUUACAUAUGCUUUUUACUUAGAAACUCAUCGACUCCUCACAAUAAAUCUAGAAAAUAGUAGUAUGAUUAUCUCCAUUUUGGCCAGGAAAGUUCAACCCUCUAAGACCCCACAGCUAGUCGAUAAAAGAUCUGGGGUUCCAGUCCACACUGUCUGGUGCCAGAGACCAUCCUCAGAGGCCCUGCGGCACUUCCCCUGUGCUGUAAGCCAGCAAUUUAUCUUCAAUCGUCCUAACCCGCAGGCUCUGCUCCACCCGUAUCCCCUCCUUCUGGGAGGCGGGUAGGGAAGCUGCCUGUGGCUCUGAACCAUAACACAGGGAAGAGGAAGAACUCUAAAAGUAGAGAAAAUUAUAGUUUCACUAAUAAUAUCAA